AACGAACGCUGGCGGCAUGCCUAACACAUGCAAGUCGAACGAGACCUUCGGGUCUAGUGGCGCACGGGUGCGUAACGCGUGGGAACCUGCCUUUAGGUUCGGAAUAACUCAGAGAAAUUUGAGCUAAUACCGGAUGAUGUCUUCGGACCAAAGAUUUAUCGCCUUUAGAUGGGCCCGCGUUGGAUUAGCUAGUUGGUGGGGUAAAGGCCUACCAAGGCGACGAUCCAUAGCUGGUCUGAGAGGAUGAUCAGCCACACUGGGACUGAGACACGGCCCAGACUCCUACGGGAGGCAGCAGUGGGGAAUAUUGGAUAAUGGGCGAAAGCCUGAUCCAGCAAUGCCGCGUGAGUGAUGAAGGCCUUAGGGUUGUAAAGCUCUUUUACCCGAGAUGAUAAUGACAGUAUCGGGAGAAUAAGCUCCGGCUAACUCCGUG
This 433-nucleotide ribosomal RNA is filed under the name uncultured bacterium. RNAcentral's name for it is "partial 16S ribosomal RNA". It matches the Rfam family "Bacterial small subunit ribosomal RNA", at positions 29 to 507 of the family's 1533-position model. The record is from RNAcentral.